Molecule: ribosomal RNA, 252 nt
Filed under: uncultured bacterium
Lineage: Bacteria
Description: partial 16S ribosomal RNA
Rfam family: Bacterial small subunit ribosomal RNA
Source: RNAcentral
UACGGAGGAUGCGAGCGUUAUCCGGAUUUAUUGGGUUUAAAGGGUGCGCAGGCGGCCUUUCAGGCCGGCGGUAAAAUUGCGGGGCUCAACCCCGUAUAGCCGUCGGAACCGGAGGGCUGGAGUGGGCGAGAGGUACGCGGAACGCGUGGUGUAGCGGUGAAAUGCAUAGAUAUCACGCAGAACCCCGAUUGCGAAGGCAGCGUACCGGCGCCCUACUGACGCUGAGGCACGAAAGCGCGGGGAUCGAACAGG